GUGGCCGCGUCUGUGGCAAGGGACAGUGACGCCGUAAAAAUGAGGUGGUGCUGGGAGACCAUUCAUGUUGACCAGCUGGAGGAGAAGGUGUCGUCCAUGAUAGGAGAGACGGUGGUAGAGGGCCUGCGCGACCGGUAAAUUAGAGCCUCCAAACAUGCCGGCAACCAUCCGUGAAGAUCAGUGGACAAAGGGCUGGACAACGGGCCGCUCCGAAAAAACACAUGGUUGCCAAGAAAGUGGCCACUGUAAUCGAUGGGGGCUCAGGGCGG
Molecule: long non-coding RNA, 269 nt
Organism: Salvelinus sp. IW2-2015
Lineage: Eukaryota; Metazoa; Chordata; Actinopteri; Salmoniformes; Salmonidae
Source: RefSeq, a predicted model, not a curated record